Molecule: ribosomal RNA, 597 nt
Filed under: Pseudonocardia sp. TMWB3TZ1603
Lineage: Bacteria; Bacillati; Actinomycetota; Actinomycetes; Pseudonocardiales; Pseudonocardiaceae
Also listed under: 1 other name
Description: bacterial SSU rRNA
Rfam family: Bacterial small subunit ribosomal RNA
Source: RNAcentral
UGGGCCCGCGGCCUAUCAGCUUGUUGGUGGGGUGAUGGCCUACCAAGGCGGUGACGGGUAGCCGGCCUGAGAGGGCGACCGGCCACACUGGGACUGAGACACGGCCCAGACUCCUACGGGAGGCAGCAGUGGGGAAUAUUGCGCAAUGGGCGGAAGCCUGACGCAGCGACGCCGCGUGGGGGAUGACGGCCUUCGGGUUGUAAACCUCUUUCGCCAGGGACGAAGAGCAAUUGACGGUACCUGGAGAAGAAGCACCGGCCAACUACGUGCCAGCAGCCGCGGUAACACGUAGGGUGCGAGCGUUGUCCGGAAUUAUUGGGCGUAAAGAGCUCGUAGGCGGUGUGUCGCGUCGGCCGUGAAAACUUGGGGCUUAACUCUGAGCGUGCGGUCGAUACGGGCAUCACUUGAGUUCGGCAGGGGAGACUGGAAUUCCUGGUGUAGCGGUGAAAUGCGCAGAUAUCAGGAGGAACACCGGUGGCGAAGGCGGGUCUCUGGGCCGAUACUGACGCUGAGGAGCGAAAGCGUGGGGAGCGAACAGGAUUAGAUACCCUGGUAGUCCACGCCGUAAACGUUGGGCGCUAGGUGUGGGGACCAUUC